GAUGAACGCUGGCGGUGUGCCUAAUACAUGCAAGUCGAACGAGGUGCUUUUGUAGCAAUACGAGAGUAUCCUAGUGGCGAACGGGUGAGUAACGCGUUGGUGACCUGCCCCAAAGUGUGGAAUAACAGUCCGAAAGGAUUGCUAAUACCGCAUGUGGUCAUCGGAUUUAGAAACCGAUGUCUAAAGCAGCAAUGCGCUUUGGGAGGGACCUGCGUCCCAUCAGCUAGUUGGUAGGGUAAUGGCCUACCAAGGCUACGACGGGUAGGGGACCUGAGAGGGUGAACGGCCACACUGGAACUGAGACACGGUCCAGACUCCUACGGGAGGCUG
RNAcentral lists this ribosomal RNA (330 nucleotides) under uncultured Chloroflexota bacterium. RNAcentral's name for it is "bacterial SSU rRNA". It matches the Rfam family "Bacterial small subunit ribosomal RNA", at positions 28 to 351 of the family's 1533-position model. The record is from RNAcentral. Lineage: Bacteria; Bacillati; Chloroflexota.